UCCCUGCUGGCUCAGAGGGUAAAGCAUCUGCCUACAAUGCAGGAGACCCAGGUUCAAUCCCUGGGUCAGGAA
Bos taurus (domestic cattle) is the source of this 72-nucleotide non-coding RNA. The record is from Rfam. NCBI's taxonomy places the organism in Eukaryota, Metazoa, Chordata, Mammalia, Artiodactyla, Bovidae.